UACGUAGGGUGCAAGCGUUGUCCGGAAUUAUUGGGCGUAAAGAGCUCGUAGGCGGUUUGUCGCGUCGGCUGUGAAAACCUGAGGCUCAACCUCGGGCCUGCAGUCGAUACGGGCAAACUAGAGUUCGGUAGGGGAGACUGGAAUUCCUGGUGUAGCGGUGGAAUGCGCAGAUAUCAGGAGGAACACCGGUGGCGAAGGCGGGUCUCUGGGCCGAAACUGACGCUGAGGAGCGAAAGCGUGGGGAGCGAACAGG
Molecule: ribosomal RNA, 253 nt
Filed under: uncultured bacterium
Lineage: Bacteria
Description: partial 16S ribosomal RNA
Rfam family: Bacterial small subunit ribosomal RNA
Source: RNAcentral